This 256-nucleotide ribosomal RNA is filed under the name uncultured Gardnerella sp. RNAcentral's name for it is "partial 16S ribosomal RNA". It matches the Rfam family "Bacterial small subunit ribosomal RNA", at positions 99 to 354 of the family's 1533-position model. Lineage: Bacteria; Bacillati; Actinomycetota; Actinomycetes; Bifidobacteriales; Bifidobacteriaceae. The record is from RNAcentral.
CGAACGGGUGAGUAAUGCGUGACCAACCUGCCCCAUGCUCCAGAAUAGCUCUUGGAAACGGGUGGUAAUGCUGGAUGCUCCAACUUGACGCAUGUCUUGUUGGGAAAGUGUUUAGUGGCAUGGGAUGGGGUCGCGUCCUAUCAGCUUGUAGGCGGGGUAAUGGCCCACCUAGGCUUCGACGGGUAGCCGGCCUGAGAGGGCGGACGGCCACAUUGGGACUUAGAUACGGCCCAGACUCCUACGGGAGGCAGCAGAA